Molecule: ribosomal RNA, 506 nt
Filed under: uncultured bacterium
Lineage: Bacteria
Description: partial 16S ribosomal RNA
Rfam family: Bacterial small subunit ribosomal RNA
Source: RNAcentral
AUUGAACGCUGGCGGCAGGCUUAACACAUGCGAGUCGAGCGGUAACAGAGAGAAGCUUGCUUCACUGCUGACGAGCGGCGGACGGGUGAGUAAUGCCUAGGAAUCUGCCUAGUAGUGGGGGAUAACUUGCCGAAAGGUAAGCUAAUACCGCAUACGUCCUACGGGAGAAAGGAGGGGACCUUCGGGCCUUUCGCUAUUAGAUGAGCCUAGGUCGGAUUAGUUAGUUGGUGAGGUAAUGGCUCACCAAGACCGCGAUCCGUAACUGGUCUGAGAGGAUGAUCAGUCACACUGGAACUGAGACACGGUCCAGACUCCUACGGGAGGCAGCAGUGGGGAAUAUUGGACAAUGGGGGGAACCCUGAUCCAGCCAUGCCGCGUGUGUGAAGAAGGUCUUAGGAUUGUAAAGCACUUUAAGUUGGGAGGAAGAGCAGUUAACUAAUAUUUGACUGUUUUGACGUUACCGACAGAAUAAGCACCGGCUAACUUCGUGCCAGCAGCCGCCGUAA